CCUAUAGGCCACCAGUGUGAAAUUGCCAACCCCCAUGCAGAGCCUGGGUGCCAUCACCACAGGCACGAGCACCAUUGUCCGUACCAUUCCUGUGGCCACCACUCUUUCCUCCUUGGCUGCCACCCCUGGUGGGAAACCCACUGCCAUCCACCAGCUGCUGACCAAUGGAGGCCUCGCUAAGUUGGCAAGCAGCCUACCUGGCUUGGCUCAAAUUUCCAACCAAGCAUCAGGCUUAAAGGUCCCCACCACCAUUACUCUGACACUCCGCGGCCAGCCAAGCAGAAUCACUACACUAAGCCCUAUGGGUUCAGGAGCAGCAGCAUCCGAGGAGCCCAACUCCCAGAUGCUGCCCUCUAGUUCACAGCGCCUGCCUCCAGCACCCUGAAUAUGCCAGCAAAAUGUCCUUACCAGGAGGACAGCUUGAACAACACUGGAGGGGCUGCUCCCGAAAGAUGCUGCCCCUGUGUUCUGGAACCAAAGAAAGAUGCUGCCCCUGUGUGUCCUGCUUUGGUGGUUAAUCUGUGUGCAUCCCAUGGGUGACUUCUGAGGCAUGGCUUACAUACCUUGAAGAACUGCAACACUGAGGAGGGGAAGCUGCAGCACACUGAUCGUCACCUUUGAGGGACUGACCAACAAGGAAGUGGCUGGAGUCUGUAGCCCACUCAGAUUGGAAUGUGGAGACACUUCACCCCGCCCACCUCUCGGCAGACUUGAGGUGUAGCCUCAGAAGGUAGUACUCUAAUGAGUAUGUGGAAGGGCCAGGAAGGCUUUGCGGUCUCUUGGGCAACAGGGCUUGUAAUGCCCAGAGGAGGGCGUCGCUGAGGAGCAAAGACAACAACCUUUGGUUGUGUUACUAUAAUAAUUUGGGUUGGAUGAAUUCAUAGAAGUGAGCAGAGUGAUGGUUCUGAUCUUAUGUUAGCAAAAAAUAAAAGACAAAAUUG
RNAcentral lists this long non-coding RNA (941 nucleotides) under Rattus norvegicus (Norway rat). RNAcentral's name for it is "long non-coding RNA NONRATT029913". The record is from RNAcentral. Lineage: Eukaryota; Metazoa; Chordata; Mammalia; Rodentia; Muridae.